RNAcentral lists this unclassified non-coding RNA (278 nucleotides) under Glomeromycetes sp. RNAcentral describes it as "partial contains 5.8S ribosomal RNA and internal transcribed spacer 2". The stretch from base 1 to 65 matches the Rfam family "5.8S ribosomal RNA", at positions 84 to 154 of the family's 154-position model. The record is from RNAcentral. Lineage: Eukaryota; Fungi; Glomeromycota; Glomeromycetes.
GUGAAUCAUCAAAUUUUUGAACGCAAAUUGCACUCUCCUCGAAGAGUAUGCCUGUUUGAGUGUCAGCCUAUUAAAAAUCGACAUCGUUUCUGUUUCGCGGUGGCAUUCGUCAGAAAGUGGGUCAUCUUAAAUCUUUGUGUUUUAAGCGACUGAAAGUUUUCUUUUUGGUUCCAUUAACGUUUCUAAGAUUUAUUUCUUGACACGUUUAAGGUAUCGUUUUUUAGUAGACGUUACCAUCAUAUCGAAUCGCUCCCCUAAUCUUUCAUUAACUGACCUCU